GUAUGAUGGCCACACGAGGGCUUUACUGUCUCUUACUUCCAAUCCGUGAAAUUGACCUUCCCGUGAAGAGGCGGGAAUAUAACAAUAAGACGAGAAGACCCUAUGGAGCUUUAAUUAACCGACCCAAAGAGACCCCACUAAUUAACCGACAGGAACAACAAAUCUCUACAUGGGCCGACAAUUUAGGUUGGGGUGACCUCGGAGAAUAAAACAACCUCCGAGUGAUUUAAAUCUAGACUAACCAGUCGAAAGUAUUACAUCACUUAUUGAUCCAAAAACUUGAUCAACGGAACAAGUUACCCUAGGGAUAACAGCGCAAUCCUAUUUUAGAGUCCAUAUCGACAAUAGGGUUUACGACCUCGAUG
This 365-nucleotide ribosomal RNA is filed under the name Leopardus wiedii (margay). RNAcentral describes it as "partial large subunit ribosomal RNA". It matches the Rfam family "Bacterial large subunit ribosomal RNA", at positions 1990 to 2531 of the family's 2925-position model. The record is from RNAcentral. Lineage: Eukaryota; Metazoa; Chordata; Mammalia; Carnivora; Felidae.